UACAGAGGUGGCAAGCGUUGUUCGGAAUUACUGGGCGUAAAGGGCGCGUAGGCGGUCUUUUAAGUUCCGUGUGAAAUCCCUCGGCUCAACUGGGGAACUGCACGGAAAACUGGGAGGCUUGAGUUCGGGAGAGGGAAGCGGAAUUCCCGGUGUAGUGGUGAAAUGCGUAGAUAUCGGGAGGAACACCAGUGGCGAAGGCGACUACCUGGCCCAUUCUUGACGCUGAGGCGCGAAAGCUAGGGGAGCGAACGGG
RNAcentral lists this ribosomal RNA (253 nucleotides) under uncultured bacterium. Its description in RNAcentral is "partial 16S ribosomal RNA". It matches the Rfam family "Bacterial small subunit ribosomal RNA", at positions 524 to 776 of the family's 1533-position model. The record is from RNAcentral.